CCGAGUUUACAACUCCCAAACCCACUGUGAACCUUACCUAUCGUUGCUUCGGCGGGACCGCCCCGGCGCCGACUCAGGCCCGGACCCAGGCGCCCGCCGGAGGCCCGAAACUCUAUUGUCUUUUUAAGUAUUCAAGCUCUGAUUGCAAAAAAACAAUAAAUCA
RNAcentral lists this unclassified non-coding RNA (163 nucleotides) under uncultured Myrothecium. Its description in RNAcentral is "sequence contains ITS1". Lineage: Eukaryota; Fungi; Ascomycota; Sordariomycetes; Hypocreales. The record is from RNAcentral.